GACGAACGCUGGCGGCGUGCCUAAUACAUGCAAGUCGAACGCUUCUUUCCUCCCGAGUGCUUGCACUCAAUUGGAAAGAGGAGUGGCGGACGGGUGAGUAACACGUGGGUAACCUACCCAUCAGAGGGGGAUAACACUUGGAAACAGGUGCUAAUACCGCAUAACAGUUUAUGCCGCAUGGCAUAAGAGUGAAAGGCGCUUUCGGGUGUCGCUGAUGGAUGGACCCGCGGUGCAUUAGCUAGUUGGUGAGGUAACGGCUCACCAAGGCCACGAUGCAUAGCCGACCUGAGAGGGUGAUCGGCCACACUGGGACUGAGACACGGCCCAGACUCCUACGGGAGGCAGCAGUAGGGAAUCUUCGGCAAUGGACGAAAGUCUGACCGAGCAACGCCGCGUGAGUGAAGAAGGUUUUCGGAUCGUAAAACUCUGUUGUUAGAGAAGAACAAGGAUGUUAGUAACUGAACGUCCCCUGACGGUAUCUAACCAGAAAGCCACGGCUAACUACGUG
Molecule: ribosomal RNA, 508 nt
Filed under: uncultured bacterium
Lineage: Bacteria
Description: partial 16S ribosomal RNA
Rfam family: Bacterial small subunit ribosomal RNA
Source: RNAcentral